CUACGGGACGCACCAGUCUAGAAGCUUCCGCAAUGGGCGAAAGCCUGACGGAGCGACGCCGCGUGCGGGAUUGAAGGUCGUGAGAUCGUAAACCGCUGUCAGCAGGGAAGAAUACCCGAAUGGUGAAUUCGGGAGAGACGGUACCUGCAGAGGAAGCCCCGGCUAAAUCCGUGCCAGCAGCCGCGGUAAUACGGAUGGGGCAAACGUUGUUCGGAAUCACUGGGCGUAAAGGGUGCGUAGGCGGUUCGGUCAGUCUGAUGUGAAAUCCCCCGGCUCAACCGGGGAACUGCAUUGGAAACUGCCGAGCUCGAGGACAGAAGAGGCAGGUGGAAUUCCUGGUGUAGCGGUGGAAUGCGUAGAUAUCAGGAAGAACACUCGUGGCGAAGGCGGCCUGCUGGUCUGUUUCUGACGCUGAGGCACGAAAGCCAGGGGAGCGAACGGGAUUAGAUACCCCAGUAGUC
RNAcentral lists this ribosomal RNA (461 nucleotides) under uncultured bacterium. RNAcentral describes it as "partial 16S ribosomal RNA". It matches the Rfam family "Bacterial small subunit ribosomal RNA", at positions 339 to 795 of the family's 1533-position model. The record is from RNAcentral.